GAUGUAACUCAGUUUGGUAGAGUGCUGCAUUUGGGAUGCAGAUGCCGCAGGUUCGAAUCCUGUCAUCC
RNAcentral lists this transfer RNA (68 nucleotides) under Nephroselmis pyriformis. It matches the Rfam family "tRNA". From Rfam's summary of the family: Transfer RNA (tRNA) molecules are approximately 80 nucleotides in length. Their secondary structure includes four short double-helical elements and three loops (D, anti-codon, and T loops). Lineage: Eukaryota; Viridiplantae; Chlorophyta; Nephroselmidophyceae; Nephroselmidales; Nephroselmidaceae. The record is from RNAcentral.